UGGAACGACUGCUAAUACCGCAUAAUGUCUACGGACCAAAGGCCGGCUUCGGCUCUCGCCUUUAGAUUGGCCCAAGUGGGAUUAGCUAGUUGGUGAGGUAAUGGCUCACCAAGGCGACGAUCCCUAGCUGGUUUGAGAGGAUGAUCAGCCACACUGGGACUGAGACACGGCCCAGACUCCCACGGGAGGCAGCAGUGGGAAUAUUGCACAAUGGGCGCAAGCCUGAUGCAGCCAUGCCGCGUGUGUGAAGAAGGCCUUCGGGUUGUAAAGCACUUUCAGUCAGGAGGAAAGGUUAGUAGUUAAUACCUGCUAGCUGUGACGUUACUGACAGAAGAAGCACCGGCUAACUCCGUGCCAGCAGCCGCGGUAAUACGGAGGGUGCGAGCGUUAAUCGGAAUUACUGGGCGUAAAGCGUACGCAGGCGGUUUGUUAAGCGAGAUGUGAAAGCCCCGGGCUCAACCUGGGAACUGCAUUUCGAACUGGCAAACUAGAGUGUGAUAGAGGGUGGUAGAAUUUCAGGUGUAGCGGUGAAAUGCGUAGAGAUCUGAANGNGAANUACCGAAUGGCCGANGNCAGCCACCUGGGUCANCACUGACGCUCAUGUACGAAAGCGUGGGGNAGCAAACGCGGUAUUAGAUACCCCGGUAGUCCACGCCGUAAACGAUGUCUACUAGAAGCUCGGAGCCUCGGUUCUGUUUUUCAAAGCUAACGCAUUAAGUAGACCGCCUGGGGAGUACGGCCGCAAGGUUAAAACUCAAAUGAAUUGACGGGGGCCCGCACAAGCGGNUGGAGCAUGNUGGUUUNAAUUCGAUGCAACGCGAAGAACCUUACCUNACACUUGACAUACAGAGAACUUACCAGAGAUGGUUUGGUGCCUUCNGGGAANCUCUGANUACAGGUGCUGCAUGGCNUGUCGUCAGCUCGUGUUGUNGAGAUNGUUNGGGUUAANGUCCCNGCANACGAGCGCNAACCCCNUAUCCUUAGUUGCUNAGNCAGGUAAUGCUGANGAACUCUNAAGGAGACUNGCCGGUGNAUAAACCGGAGGAAGGUNGGGGNANCNGANCGUCAAGUNCAUCNAUGGCCCUUACNGUGUAGGGCUACACACGUGNCUACAAUGGCGCAUACAGAGUGCUGGCGAACCUNGCGNAANGNGUAAGCGAAUCACUUAAAGUGCGUCGUAGUCCGGAUUGGAGUCUGCAACUCGACUCCAUGAAGUCGGAAUCGCUAGUAAUCGCGUAUCAGAAUGACGCGGUGAAUACGUUCCCGGGCCUUGUACACACCGCCCGUCACACCAUGGGAGUGGGUUGCUCCAGAAGUAGAUAGGUCUAAACCCUCGGGAGGACGUUUACCACGGAGUGAUUC
This 1362-nucleotide ribosomal RNA is filed under the name uncultured Pseudoalteromonas sp. Its description in RNAcentral is "partial 16S ribosomal RNA". It matches the Rfam family "Bacterial small subunit ribosomal RNA", at positions 151 to 1470 of the family's 1533-position model. Lineage: Bacteria; Pseudomonadati; Pseudomonadota; Gammaproteobacteria; Alteromonadales; Pseudoalteromonadaceae. The record is from RNAcentral.